RNAcentral lists this long non-coding RNA (702 nucleotides) under Equus caballus (horse). Its description in RNAcentral is "lncRNA (ENSECAG00000052908.1)". The record is from RNAcentral. Lineage: Eukaryota; Metazoa; Chordata; Mammalia; Perissodactyla; Equidae.
ACCGAAGCAGGAACCUGCCUUUGUGAAAUGGGGACAAUAAAAACAUUUCCCCCUUCACUGCCCCACCCUUGUCUCUCCACUUACGAGGCUGGCGGGAGCGCUCGUUAGCCUGUAAACUGCUUCUGGUCUUCCUUGGAGAGUGACAUCUGAUGGAGACUCAGGCCAGUGAAGGUGGAAAUAGCGUGAGGCUCAGUCUUGGAGAACGAGUGGUCCUGGGAUCGAUAUUUGUGCCUGAAUCCACGAGUCGAAUGAGGUUGUUCCAGGCCUGAAAGGGACGCACAAGACUUCUGUUAACAUCUCAGUGGCAAAAAUUCAUCUUUGGCUACAUCUGGGCAUAGGAGGCGCUGGAAAAAGGAAUGCAUGUUUGAGCAGCUGUCUUUUAUCAACAACUUCACACUGUGGAAGAGGAAACAUGAUUUUUGGUGGGCCGAUAGCCAUCUCUUUUGUAAAAGUAUCAUCAUCAUCAUCCCCAUUUUUGGAUGGGGAAACUGAGGCUCCAGUGCUGAAGUAACUCACCCAAGGUCUGUAGCUGUGCAUUGCUGCCACUGGCUUUGUAAAUGACCGUCGGUCAGUAAGGAGACCAGCCUGGCUGCCACUUUCUGACUGCAAACCUAAACUGCAUAAACAGGAGAAUAAAGAGCAGAGAAUGGACUCACAGCGGGACAAGGUGGGUUUGUCCUUUCUGUUGCACUUGGAGGGGGC